CCUACGUGAGGCAGCAGUGAGGAAUAUUGGUCAAUGGGCGCAAGCCUGAACCAGCCAAGUCGCGUGAGGGAUGACGUUCCUAUGGAUUGUAAACCUCUUUUGUCGGGGAGCAAGGCCCGCCACGUGUGGCGGGAAGGCGAGUACCCGAAGAAAAAGCAUCGGCUAACUCCGUUCCAGCAGCCGCGGUAAUACGGAGGAUUCGAGCGGUAUCCGGAUUUAUUGGGUUUAAAGGGUGCGUAGGCGGAAGGUUAAGUCAGCGGUAAAAUGUCGGUGCUCAACACCGGCCUGCCGUUGAAACUGGUCAUAUUGAGUGAGCGAGAAGUAUGCGGAAUGCGUGGUGGAGCGGUGAAAUGCAUAGAUAUCACGCAGAACUCCGAUUGCGAAGGCAGCAUACCGGCGCUCAACUGACGCUGAGGCACGAAAGCGUGGGGAUCGAACAGGAUUAGAUACCCUUGUAGUC
RNAcentral lists this ribosomal RNA (460 nucleotides) under uncultured bacterium. RNAcentral describes it as "partial 16S ribosomal RNA". It matches the Rfam family "Bacterial small subunit ribosomal RNA", at positions 338 to 795 of the family's 1533-position model. The record is from RNAcentral.